GACGAACGCUGGCGGCGUGCCUAACACAUGCAAGUCGAACGGAACUGUUUUGAAAGAUUUCUUCGGAAUGAAUUUGAUUUAGUUUAGUGGCGGACGGGCGAGUAACGCGUGAGUAACCUGCCUUCAAGAGGGGGAUAACAUUCUGAAAAGAAUGCUAAUACCGCAUGACAUAUCGGAACCACAUGGUUUUGAUAUCAAAGAUUUUAUCGCUUGAAGAUGGACUCGCGUCCGAUUAGUUAGUUGGUGAGGUAACGGCUCACCAAGACCGCGAUCGGUAGCCGGACUGAGAGGUUGAACGGCCACAUUGGGACUGAGACACGGCCCAGACUCCUACGGGAGGCAGCAGUGGGGGAUAUUGCGCAAUGGGGGCAACCCUGACGCAGCAACGCCGCGUGAAGGAUGAAGGUUUUCGGAUUGUAAACUUCUUUUAUUAAGGACGAAACUUGACG
Molecule: ribosomal RNA, 449 nt
Filed under: uncultured bacterium
Lineage: Bacteria
Description: bacterial SSU rRNA
Rfam family: Bacterial small subunit ribosomal RNA
Source: RNAcentral